UUUUUUAAGUGUAGGAUGUAGGCACUUAUUUAUCACUGGUGAAAAUGCAUAGGUAUUUAUGGUGACUAUGUUGAAAAGUAGUGUUUUGUCACUGAAAAUUUGUUUCUAUUUCCAUAGAAAUAAAUAGGAGAAAUUGCUUUCAGCAUUAUCUAUGCACUUGGUGUAUAAAAAAUAUGUUUCAACUUAAGAAAAUCAGCUUGCAAGUUGAGGUAUGCAUGGCAGAAGAGAGAACACUUCUUUCCUUAGUUCUCACCUAUGAGAUUUAUCAGGUUCCUUCCAAAUGAAGAUAUCUGCAAAGAAAUUGUGCCCCUGUUACUGCCCCAGAAGUGCUGAGAGAGGAUAUUGUCCAGAGCAAUAUUUGACAUUCUGGAGAAUUUUCACUAAAGGAAACUCUUCGUUUCAGGUGAGAUGUAACAGAAAUUUGUUAAUUAGUCUGGUUCAUCCUUCUGCUGGAUCCUCUUCAAAGAUCACUGCCUUUCAUUCUUCAUUGUGUAAAACAAGCCACAAGACACAGCAUGUCUUCCAGGCACUUGAAGCACACAAAUUAAAAAAUGACAAUGAAUGUAACUUAUGACAGUAACUUAUCCAGUAUUUCCAUUUUAUUUGCAUAUCACAUUCAGAAAAUUGGACUAAAACUAUGUUAAGACCAAAAAUUCAGGCAUCUAGUUUAACAUAUUUCAUGAUUUAAACAUCCCAGUGAUGUUUUCAGCUGGAAUUCCCUUGUGGAUUGUUACUUAGAAUCAUAUGUGAGAGUGAAGACACAUUUUUUCUGAUAACUGUAAAUCUGAUAUUUGGUAUCUGUUAGUUGAAAUAAUGCACAAUAUAUUCUCUUAGAGCACAGAUCUUUAAAUAUAAACCAGAAAAUUCACUACAAAUGACAUUAACACUUAGAAAGUGAUAGUUGGUCAAAACAGUAUGAAAUUUUCCAAAUAUUUCUACUAUAUUGGCAAAAUUCAACCAUUUUGAAAGGACUUCUCUCUGUUACCGAGUAACUUAUUCUACAGAAUAAAAUUGCACUGAAUUUCCAAUUUGUCACUUCCAGAAAUCCUCUGCAGAAUAGUUGCAGAAGGAUGCGAAAGAAUUGAAUUCUACAUUGCUUCAUCAUUUGCCAAGCUGAAAAAAGAGCAAUCACUCAAAAUCAUUCAAAAGGUCCAUGGGUAGUUGCCCCAUGUUUCCCAUUCUUUAGGCACCAGAUGAGUGAUCUGUGAUUCAUAGUCCAGUGAUGUUGUAGCAUAGAGAAAGGACAUACUGAACACUUUAUUCUCACAGUAGACUCUGAACAGCCAACUUUCUUGUACCAUACUAAUUCCAGUCAUUUUAGUCUCUGAAACACAUCUGAUGUUUAUAACCCAUUUGCAUUUUUUUCCCAAGUUUUUCUAUUUUCCGUAAAAAUAUCUUCUUAAUAACUGAUUUCAUUAUUUUUUAAUGAAGGUGUCAAAACAUAAACCAGAAACAUUUAAUAAAACUGCUAUGAUUAAUAUAUGAAUAAUUAUAGAAAAUAAUUAAAAUAGUGAAUAACAAUGUGUUUAUUUGAGAAAUAUCUAAAAAGCACUUGAGUAGUACAUAUUAAGCAAGCACAGAUAAAUAUAAAAUGUUUAGUUCAUAGAACACUAUUUAGAAAAAUGUAUUUUACUAAUUUAAAGUAAUAUAUUUUUCUCAAUAUUUUCACGUGUAUGGAUUAACAAUACUAGCUGUCCAAUAGAAAUCAGAUACUGACAUGUUAAUUCAAACAUCAAAUGCAACAAAGCUUUAAGUAUGUAGUUCUCAUUCCCAUCACCUUGACUAUGUUCUUCUUUGAUCUGUCAGAUAAUCUGAUGUUCUACUAACAUCUUUUAAAGUAAAUAAGCUCUACAUUUUAAAGUACUGAAUUGUAAUUGUAUAUGCCAAUAAUUAGUAAUGACAGUAGCUACAUUUUAUUGGUAGAUUAAAAUAUAAAUUUGUAUUGUAAAAAGACGUUCAAACAAUUUUUAUUGUAAAAUAUAAUUUUGAGUUUGUAGUUUGUCCCUUGUUUUCAAUUAUAGGAUGAAU
This is a long non-coding RNA of Gallus gallus (chicken), 2028 nucleotides long. NCBI's taxonomy places the organism in Eukaryota, Metazoa, Chordata, Aves, Galliformes, Phasianidae. The record is from Ensembl.